CCAGACUCCUACGGGAGGCAGCAGUGGGGAAUAUUGGGCAAUGGGCGCAAGCCUGACCCAGCAACGCCGCGUGAAGGAAGAAGGCUUUCGGGUUGUAAACUUCUUUUGUCAGGGACGAAGCAAGUGACGGUACCUGACGAAUAAGCCCCGGCUAACUACGUGCCAGCAGCCGCGGUAAUACGUAGGGGGCAAGCGUUAUCCGGAUUCACUGGGUGUAAAGGGAGCGUAGACGGCGACGCAAGUCUGGAGUGAAAGCCCGGGGCCCAACCCCGGGACUGCUCUGGAAACUGCGUCGCUGGAGUACGGGAGGGGCAGGCGGAAUUCCUGGUGUAGCGGUGAAAUGCGUAGAUAUCAGGAGGAACACCGGCGGCGAAGGCGGCCUGCUGGACCGUGACUGACGUUGAGGCUCGAGAGCGUGGGGAGCAAACAGGAUUAGAUACCCUAGUAC
Molecule: ribosomal RNA, 448 nt
Filed under: uncultured bacterium
Lineage: Bacteria
Description: bacterial SSU rRNA
Rfam family: Bacterial small subunit ribosomal RNA
Source: RNAcentral